This 403-nucleotide ribosomal RNA is filed under the name Fusobacteriota bacterium. RNAcentral describes it as "Fusobacteria bacterium partial 16S ribosomal RNA". It matches the Rfam family "Bacterial small subunit ribosomal RNA", at positions 355 to 776 of the family's 1533-position model. Lineage: Bacteria; Fusobacteriati; Fusobacteriota. The record is from RNAcentral.
UGGGGAAUUUUGCACAAUGGAGGAAACUCUGAUGCAGCGACGCCGCGUGAGUGAUGAAGAUCUUCGGAUUGUAAAACUCUGUCCUUAGUGAAGAUAAUGACAGUAACUAAGAAGCAAGCCCUGGCUAAAUACGUGCCAGCAGCCGCGGUAAUACGUAUGGGGCAAGCGUUGUCCGGAAUUAUUGGGCGUAAAGGGUACGUAGGCGGUUUAAUAAGUCCUAAUUAAAAGGAUAUGGCUCAACCAUAGUAUGGUUAGGAAACUGUUGAACUUGAGUAGAUGAGGGGAAAGUGGAAUUCCAUGUGUAGCGGUGAAAUGCGUAGAUAUAUGGAGGAACACCAAUGGCGAAGGCAACUUUCUGGAAUCAAACUGACGCUGAGGUACGAAGGCGUGGGGAGCAAACAGG